Molecule: ribosomal RNA, 908 nt
Filed under: uncultured bacterium
Lineage: Bacteria
Description: bacterial SSU rRNA
Rfam family: Bacterial small subunit ribosomal RNA
Source: RNAcentral
ACGCUGGCGGCAGGCUUAACACAUGCAAGUCGAACGGUAACAGGGAUUAGCUUGCUAAUCUGCUGACGAGUGGCGGACGGGUGAGUAAUGCUUGGGAAUCUGGCUUAUGGAGGGGGAUAACUACGGGAAACUGUAGCUAAUACCGCGUAAAAUCUUCGGAUUAAAGGGUGGGACUUUCGAGCCACCUGCCAUAAGAUGAGCCCAAGUGGGAUUAGGUAGUUGGUUAGGUAAAGGCUGACCAAGCCGACGAUCUCUAGCUGGUCUGAGAGGAUGACCAGCCACACUGGAACUGAGACACGGUCCAGACUCCUACGGGAGGCAGCAGUGGGGAAUAUUGCACAAUGGGGGGAACCCUGAUGCAGCCAUGCCGCGUGAAUGAAGAAGGCCUUCGGGUUGUAAAGUUCUUUCGGUGACGAGGAAGGUUGAUAGGUUAAUAGCCUAUCAAAUUGACGUUAAUCACAGGAGAAGCACCGGCUAACUCCGUGCCAGCAGCCGCGGUAAUACGGGGGGUGCGAGCGUUAAUCGGAAUAACUGGGCGUAAAGGGCACGCAGGCGGUGACUUAAGUGAGAUGUGAAAGCCCCGAGCUUAACUUGGGAAUUGCAUUUCGUACUGGGUCGCUAGAGUACUUUAGGGAGGGGUAGAAUUCCACGUGUAGCGGUGAAAUGCGUAGAGAUGUGGAGGAAUACCGAAGGCGAAGGCAGCCCCUUGGGAAUGUACUGACGCUCAUGUGCGAAAGCGUGGGGAGCAAACAGGAUUAGAUACCCUGGUAGUCCACGCUGUAAACGAUGUCGAUUUGGGGAUUGGGCUUUGAGCUUGGUGCCCGUAGCUAACGUGAUAAAUCGACCGCCUGGGGAGUACGGCCGCAAGGUUAAAACUCAAAUGAAUUGACGGGGGCCCGCACAAGCGG